This 486-nucleotide unclassified non-coding RNA is filed under the name Hevea brasiliensis (rubber tree). The record is from RNAcentral. Lineage: Eukaryota; Viridiplantae; Streptophyta; Magnoliopsida; Malpighiales; Euphorbiaceae.
CUACUGACACUCGUACACCAAUGGUAAUAAUUAAGAUUCGUUUGGGCGUAUACCGAUGUCCAUAGAGAGAACACAUACUUGUCUAAGUGCAAAUCCGACACGUGGUUUCCUCAAACCCGUCAGCGACGGAACUCCUCAUCGUCAACGACCGAAAAAGGGGUCAAUUUAGGUUUGAGGCACUUCUCCUUUUCCAAUCCACAUGGACCCAAACCCAAAUCCUCUUCAUUUCUGACGCGGUUUUGUCCCUCUGCAACUCAAUCUAUCCCUUCCAAAGAGUUGCACCAAUCGAAAACCAACCCAAUCCAUGUCUAAAUCACCUCAAACGACAUUGUCUUUUUUGCUAUCGGCUUUUGUGUUGUUAUGCUUUCUAGGAUUAGGGUUUGGUUCAAUUUAUGCGGAAGCUUUGAAGUUGCCUUUUAGGGUUAAUGAUGUGCUUCCGGUCUUGCCACAUCAGAUAUCAUGGCCUGUACUGAACAAUUUUCAUGG